This 380-nucleotide unclassified non-coding RNA is filed under the name fungal sp. RNAcentral describes it as "partial internal transcribed spacer region". The stretch from base 1 to 46 matches the Rfam family "Eukaryotic small subunit ribosomal RNA", at positions 1786 to 1831 of the family's 1831-position model. The record is from RNAcentral. Lineage: Eukaryota; Fungi.
AAGUCGUAACAAGGUUUCCGUAGGUGAACCUGCGGAAGGAUCCUCGCAUCAACGCUUGUAUACCAACAUUCAAACUCAAUGUGAAAUGUAACGUCCCUAAUUGUACUCGAGUCAAUUAAUUUAUUACUUGAUUCGGAUGCAGUUAGACAAUACCCAGUUAACUCUCUUGUGGUUGCUAUUAAAUUUACUUUAAUGGUGGCUGUCAGGUUUUAGCUUUACUCACCAUUUUUAACCCUAUAAACUAAAUGUUUGUCUUAUCUUCUUCAGACUGAAUAUUGAAAUGAGAUUGAGAAUUUAAUUUAUUUUCUGUUUCCUCUUUCUUCCUUUCAGCUUUGUUACGAAAUAUUGAACAACUCUUAGCAAUGGAUAUCUUGGGUCAU